This is a long non-coding RNA of Mytilus californianus (California mussel), 2187 nucleotides long. RefSeq lists it as uncharacterized. The transcript has 4 exons. Lineage: Eukaryota; Metazoa; Mollusca; Bivalvia; Mytilida; Mytilidae. The record is from RefSeq and is a predicted model, not a curated record.
AUCAUGCAGUGCCUACUUCAAAUAAACAAUUCAUACUUUUCCGCUGGCACUUGAAAAACAAUCCCUUGGUCAUAAAGUUAUAUUAAAAAACACCAAUAAUACGUAAAUCUUGUCUAACCUUAUUAGAACCAAAACAGUUGUGUUAUUAUUGCUCCAGGCAAACUUGUAUGUCAUGUCUCGGAAAUGAAUAAUACUGUCAACAACUCUCAACAAUAACUUUCUUUCAAGGAGGGAAUUCCUGAUUAUAAAAGGUCAGCGCCUCAGGUUCAGCAUGUAAUGUGAGAUACCAUUUUGCAAUUGAUUUAUAAGGAAAAUGAAAACUUCAUUUGGGGUUUCCCAUCCGGGAGAGGAAAUGAAUCUUUUAUUAUGGUAAACCUAUUAACUUCUAUGCAGGAUGAAGCACUGUAUGGUUUAAGGCCAGCCAAAUUUGUGUGUACAUGUGGAACUGAUGUAGCAGGUUCAAAAGUCAUUUUGGAAAAUGAAAUCAUCCUGACCAUGUUCCAAAAUUAAUAUAUGGAUAUAAAAUUUGAAAUUUUUUUUUUCUAUUUUUGUCUCCCUCAAAUGAAGAUUUAAGAGUUCAAGAUUGUGCCUUUGGUGACUUGAAGUUUGAACCCCUCAAGCAAAUGUAAAACAAAAUUUAAAUAUAUAAACAUUAAUAUGAUGUAAUAUGAUCAUGAUAUAUAUAUAACUGUUUUGUGAACCUCUGAAGGAUUUUAUUUGAUAUUUGAUUUUCUAAUUCUUGGGGGCAAAAACGUGACUUAAAAACAUACCUUCUCCAUUAUAGAGAAAAAACAAAUAUAUAUGUAAGCCUAUUCAUACAAGAAAGAAUGAACAAUACCUCCUAAUCUGUAACUACUGGCAGUUCUAAUACAUAAAUAAUACACAAGUUUUAAAAUUUGUAAUAUAUUGGACAUUGUUCUUUUCUAGGACAAUGUAAUUUUACAUUUAAUAUGAAAAUAAGAAGAUGUGGUAUGAUUAGCAAUGCGACCUGAACUUCCUCAAUAACUAUGAUUGCCAAUGAGGCCUGAACUUCCUCAAUAAUUUUGAUUGUUGGAUGACCUGGAAUUAUCCACUGAUUUAAUUUAUCAGCAUUUUAUCUCAAAGGUGUAUACAGUCAAACCUGCUGUAGGUCACCUCUAUUCAGCAAAAACCUGUCUCCUUUGGUCAUCCUCUUCUUUUCCCACUGUCAUGACUGUAGUACUAAUACCUAUAUAUUUUGAACUUAAACUCAAAGGUCCACUCUCUCAUACGGUCAGUUUUCUCUUGUCCUUAUAGUGACCUUUAUAAACAGGUGUUAUCAUGAUCAGGGUUUGAAUUUAACUAUUUUAACAAGGUUGUCCAAGGGACUAAAACAGCUCAAAAUUGACUCAUCCUACAAAAAGGUUUGCAGUCCUGAAUUUAGAAAUUUAUCAGCUUCAUGGUUAUAUCUGGAAGGUCAACAGUACUAGCUUGAAGCAAUUUUUUGUUAAUCCAAAAUUUAAAUGCACAAGACUAACAGAUUAUUGCCAGAAUCAAUUUGAAACCUAAAUUAAUCAACUGAUAGGUAGCUUUCUUUCAUGGUUUAAUCAAAUAAAAUUUAUAUGUAACCUUAAAUACUCUUAUCGUAAAAAUUAUUAUUAGUCAGCGAUACAUAUUGCAUACUGCAUUAUUUUCUAUAUUUAACCCCUUGACACCCUUGUCAGGUGGUAGUGUAGGGGGUAUGAUAAAUCCUGACAAUUGAAAAACAAAUAAUAAAAAAAAAAAAAAAGCUUUCUUUCAUGGUUCAGGUCUAGAUCUGUUAACUAUUUCCCCCAUGAAGAGGUAUUUCUUGUAUCACAGAGAACAGAGUGUGAUAUGAUUAAGUGAAACUAUAAAUGCAUUAAUUUGGUUGACCUAUCCAACAAUGUAUUACUUGGUACCUACUUCUUCUCAGGGGUUAUAAAGAUUUCUAAUUUUUUCAAUAUUAUGCAAAUGAAACACUCACAUCUUUUAGCCUAAAACUAUUCUGUUCAUCAAAAUUUGAUUACAUUCUAUAGCGUACAUGGAGGACAAAUAACAGAGCAAAAAAUUGUUAUUCAAUUUCUCACUCGUAUUGAAAGCUACAUGUACUAGUUUUUGGGGUUAGAAAUAUAGUUAUUUGAAACAUCUCGCAGCAUUCUCGCUGUAUGUAUUUUUUUUAUUUAAAUAUAAAAUUUCAAUUUUUACAUG